RNAcentral lists this ribosomal RNA (56 nucleotides) under Candidatus Phytoplasma pini. Its description in RNAcentral is "partial 23S ribosomal RNA". Lineage: Bacteria; Bacillati; Mycoplasmatota; Mollicutes; Acholeplasmatales; Acholeplasmataceae. The record is from RNAcentral.
UAAAGAAAUCAAGAGCGUACAGUGGAUGCCUUGGCACUAAGAGCCGAUGAAGGACG